This is a long non-coding RNA of Anolis carolinensis (green anole), 847 nucleotides long. RefSeq lists it as uncharacterized. The record is from RefSeq and is a predicted model, not a curated record. The transcript is spliced from 2 exons. NCBI's taxonomy places the organism in Eukaryota, Metazoa, Chordata, Lepidosauria, Squamata, Anolidae.
GCGUCUGAAUUUCCCCUUUUGUCGUUCUCCAUCUAUGCAGGUGGCAGAUGAUUCCCUUAAAGGCUACAAAUCCAGAGGCUACAAAGACUACAAUCCAGAGAACCACACAACCAAUUCUGGUGGACUUUUCUCUUCUUCCUUUAAAGAAAAGUCCUUUGCACUGCAUGGGAAGUUGCUUUUCAUGGAGGGCUAUUAUUACAAUGCAAAAUAUCCAAACCCUAGGACACAGUAGCUCUCUGGACUGUUGGUCCAAAAAGAGAGUGUAAUACUGUUGCAUUGUUAGUGCAAUUAGGAAGGGAUGUGUGGUAAGAAUGAGCGCCACUGGCAAAUCACUUGUAUAGCAGAAGUUUCCUUUUUGAUAACAAAGUGUCUUAGAAGCAUGGACAUCAAUUUCCUCUUAUGAACUUUCCUUUCUGGGAGCAGAGGGGGUUAACCACCAAAUCCUCAUGGCUCUUGGGAUACCAUCCCAGGCACUGAAGCACUGUGGUCUUAAUGUGGCUUUACAGCCUUUGUAAGGUGACUUGGAAGGCGCUUGAACAGACUGCACUUUUAUAUCACGAGAUGCAGAGCCAAUCUUAAGAAAUGAGGCUACAAAGUGGAGUCCACAACAUGUGAGUGUGGAGAAGAACAAACUACAGACCACUUACUACAAUGCAGUCUGAGCCCUGCCAUAUGCACAGUGGAGGAACUUCUUACAGUGACACCAGAGGCACUCUAAAUGGCCAGAUUAUAAUCAAAGGAAAUUUAGCAUAAUGCCGACUUUUUAACUUUUAACUGUUUUUUAUGCAUUAUAAUUGUAUUCUCAAUCACUUCUGAUGAUAAAUAAAUAAAUACAGCCUUUGUAGUA